Unclassified non-coding RNA from Aotus nancymaae (Ma's night monkey), 102 nucleotides. It matches the Rfam family "Y RNA". Rfam says of the family: Y RNAs are components of the Ro ribonucleoprotein particle (Ro RNP), in association with Ro60 and La proteins. The Y RNAs and Ro60 and La proteins are well conserved, but the function of the Ro RNP is not known. NCBI's taxonomy places the organism in Eukaryota, Metazoa, Chordata, Mammalia, Primates, Aotidae. The record is from Ensembl.
GGCUGGCCCAGGUGCCCUGGUGUUUACAACUGAUUGAUCACAGCCAGUUACAGAUUUCUUUGUUCCUUUUCCACUCCCACUGCUUCACUUGACUAGCCUAAA